GGACCCGCACAAGUAGUGGAGCAUGUGGUUUAAUUCGAAGAUACGCGCAGAACCUUACCAACACUUGACAUGUUCGUCGCGACUUUAAGAGAUUAAAGUUUUCGGUUCGGCCGGACGAAACACAGGUGCUGCAUGGCUGUCGUCAGCUCGUGUCGUGAGAUGUUGGUUAAGUCCCGCAACGAGCGCAACCCUCACUUUUAGUUGCCACCAUUUAGUUGGGCACUUUAAAAGAACUGCCAGUGAUAAGCUGGAGGAAGGUGGGAUGACGUCAAGUCCUCAUGGCCCUUAUGUGUUGGGCUACACACGUGCUACAAUGGUACUUACAAUGGGAUGCAAAGAGGCGACUCUUAGCUAA
Molecule: ribosomal RNA, 355 nt
Filed under: uncultured bacterium
Lineage: Bacteria
Description: bacterial SSU rRNA
Rfam family: Bacterial small subunit ribosomal RNA
Source: RNAcentral